RNAcentral lists this ribosomal RNA (253 nucleotides) under uncultured bacterium. RNAcentral's name for it is "partial 16S ribosomal RNA". It matches the Rfam family "Bacterial small subunit ribosomal RNA", at positions 524 to 776 of the family's 1533-position model. The record is from RNAcentral.
UACGUAGGCAGCGAGCGUUGUUCGGAUUUAUUGGGCGUAAAGGGCGCGCAGGCGGCCAUUUAAGUCAGGCGUGAAAGCCCCGGGCUCAACCUGGGAACGGCGCUUGGGACUGGAUGGCUCGAGUUCGGGAGAGGAGAGUGGAAUUCCCAGUGUAGAGGUGAAAUUCGUAGAUAUUGGGAAGAACACCGGUGGCGAAGGCGGCUCACUGGCUCGUUUCUGACGCUCAGGCGCGACAGCGUGGGGAUCAAACAGG